RNAcentral lists this ribosomal RNA (564 nucleotides) under Streptomyces sp. 331G09. Its description in RNAcentral is "bacterial SSU rRNA". It matches the Rfam family "Bacterial small subunit ribosomal RNA", at positions 93 to 671 of the family's 1533-position model. The record is from RNAcentral. Lineage: Bacteria; Bacillati; Actinomycetota; Actinomycetes; Kitasatosporales; Streptomycetaceae. RNAcentral also lists the same sequence under 2 other names.
UAGUGGCGAACGGGUGAGUAACACGUGGGCAAUCUGCCCUUCACUCUGGGACAAGCCCUGGAAACGGGGUCUAAUACCGGAUACCACUCCUGCCCGCAUGGGUGGGGGUUGAAAGCUCCGGCGGUGAAGGAUGAGCCCGCGGCCUAUCAGCUUGUUGGUGGGGUAAUGGCCCACCAAGGCGACGACGGGUAGCCGGCCUGAGAGGGCGACCGGCCACACUGGGACUGAGACACGGCCCAGACUCCUACGGGAGGCAGCAGUGGGGAAUAUUGCACAAUGGGCGAAAGCCUGAUGCAGCGACGCCGCGUGAGGGAUGACGGCCUUCGGGUUGUAAACCUCUUUCAGCAGGGAAGAAGCGAAAGUGACGGUACCUGCAGAAGAAGCGCCGGCUAACUACGUGCCAGCAGCCGCGGUAAUACGUAGGGCGCAAGCGUUGUCCGGAAUUAUUGGGCGUAAAGAGCUCGUAGGCGGCUUGUCACGUCGGAUGUGAAAGCCCGAGGCUUAACCUCGGGUCUGCAUUCGAUACGGGCUAGCUAGAGUGUGGUAGGGGAGAUCGGAAUUCCU